Molecule: small nuclear RNA, 163 nt
Organism: Suncus etruscus (white-toothed pygmy shrew)
Lineage: Eukaryota; Metazoa; Chordata; Mammalia; Eulipotyphla; Soricidae
Product: U1 spliceosomal RNA
Exons: 1
Source: RefSeq, a predicted model, not a curated record
AUACUUACCUGGCAGGGGUGAUUCCAUGAUCACGAAGGUAGUUUCCCCAGGGAGAGGAUCGCCCAUUGCACUCUGGGCUGCUGACCCCUGCAAUUUCUCUAAAUGUGGGAAACUCAACUGCAUAAUUUAUGGUAGUGGAGGACUGUGUGAACGCUCUCCCCUG